UGGAACAAUGUAGGUAAAGGAAAUCAACAAAAUGGAUUUAUAACUUUAGGAAAAAGAUUGGCUCUGGUUGGGCUUAGGGGUCUAGACCUUCUAGGCUGCUGGCAGUCAGCCUGAGCUACCUGUGCAGCGAGGGCAAGCCCCCGUGAGAAAACUUGGUGAUGGAUGUAUGCCCCUCCCCGUGGGGGCAUUCCCUAGGCAUCAAACAAUUAGCUCAAAACUGGAAUGGACAAAGGGAAUCCAAUUGUUUAAUUAAAAUAAAGCAUUGCAAUGGUUCUUAUAGAUGUUGACACAAUGUGAUUUUUACCUAGUUCUCUGAAUGUAAAAGUGAAGAAAUUCAACCAAAUGCAGGGAGUAACUAUAACUCUUUUACAAAUGCCUCAUCAUUUAAUUAGUGAUGUGCAUGAAUAAAUUAAUAAGAUUCCCAUUGUCCCUAUCUACUAUUUAAUGAAACCACAGCCAAGAGAACAAGCUUGG
This 474-nucleotide non-coding RNA is filed under the name Selaginella moellendorffii. RNAcentral describes it as "Eukaryotic large subunit ribosomal RNA". It matches the Rfam family "Eukaryotic large subunit ribosomal RNA", at positions 1891 to 2388 of the family's 3401-position model. The record is from Rfam by way of RNAcentral. Lineage: Eukaryota; Viridiplantae; Streptophyta; Lycopodiopsida; Selaginellales; Selaginellaceae.